Molecule: long non-coding RNA, 858 nt
Organism: Misgurnus anguillicaudatus (oriental weatherfish)
Lineage: Eukaryota; Metazoa; Chordata; Actinopteri; Cypriniformes; Cobitidae
Source: RefSeq, a predicted model, not a curated record
UUACAGUCGUAACCUGACGUUUCUAAUGUUGUGUGCUAUUGAGUGAUCGUGCGUCUUUCACCCCGAGAAGUGUAUCUGCCUCAUCAGCACUCCUGAACUGAAUGAAAAUCCCAAAGCCACAACUCAUUUUCACUGCAAUUAUUUCACACAAAUUUCUUGGAGUAGCCUACUGGGGUGAUGGUGUGCAGUUGCUGAUGGGAUGCACAGAUUAAAUCGUAUCCUGAGAGAGGAUGACUGAAUGUGCAGUUAACAUGAGAUCCACUAGAGGGCCACAGGGGACCAUCUGGAAUCUACUGUAUACGAAUGAGAUGAGGAAGAAAAAUAUGAAAUGAAACUGGAGCUUGUGACUCCUGUAUGCUAAAUUUAAUAAUGGUGUAGUGUUUAGGGCAUACUGAAUAGUAUAGACUCUAUACCCCAGAAAAUAAGAAAGUGCUUUAUUGCCAAGUAUGCUUCCAUACAUAACGCUCCCAGUAACCAAGACAUAUAGUUAAAAAAAUAAAAAGAGGUAAGAAUAUAUAUAAAAAUAUGCAUACUGUACAGAAGAAAUAUAUUCUGUGAAUGUAGUACACAUUUUCACCUGUGUUAUGCUAUCUAAAUGUUUUGUAAUGAUACUAUAUACAGCAUUGUUGUCCUGUGACCUCAAUAUGCCCAUGUUUAAGUUUAUUGCUAAAAUAAAAUGUUGCAUGUUAGUCUAAUUUUGUUUUAAGUAUUUUCUAGUUGAAUAAAGUGUUAAGUCUGGAAAGCAUUACUCAUUCUCUGGUAGUUUCAUCUGGAAGUUCCCUGAACUGUAAAUAAAAGGUCAAGUGAAGCACAUGGCAUUCCGGGACAACAGUAUUCCAGUGGUUGCCAAUCUUUUCC